Molecule: ribosomal RNA, 575 nt
Filed under: Priestia megaterium
Lineage: Bacteria; Bacillati; Bacillota; Bacilli; Caryophanales; Bacillaceae
Description: bacterial SSU rRNA
Rfam family: Bacterial small subunit ribosomal RNA
Source: RNAcentral
AGACGCGUUUCUUCCGGGAGGCAGCAGUAGGGAAUCUUCCGCAAUGGACGAAAGUCUGACGGGAGCAACGCCGCGUGAGUGAUGAAGGCUUUCGGGUCGUAAAACUCUGUUGUUAGGGAAGAACAAAGUACGAGAAGUAACUGCUCGUACCUUGACGGUACCUAACCAGAAAACCACGGCUAACUACGUGCCAGCAGCCGCGGUAAUACGUAGGUGGCAAGCGUUAUCCGGAAUUAUUGGGCGUAAAGCGCGCGCAGGCGGUUUCUUAAGUCUGAUGUGAAAGCCCACGGCUCAACCGUGGAGGGUCAUUGGAAACUGGGGAACUUGAGUGCAGAAGAGAAAAGCGGAAUUCCACGUGUAGCGGUGAAAUGCGUAGAGAUGUGGAGGAACACCAGUGGCGAAGGCGGCUUUUUGGUCUGUAACUGACGCUGAGGCGCGAAAGCGUGGGGAGCAAACAGGAUUAGAUACCCUGGUAGUCCACGCCGUAAACGAUGAGUGCUAAGUGUUAGAGGGUUUCCGCCCUUUAGUGCUGCAGCUAACGCAUUAAGCAUCGCCUGGGAGACGCUCGCCUUACU